RNAcentral lists this unclassified non-coding RNA (727 nucleotides) under Hevea brasiliensis (rubber tree). Lineage: Eukaryota; Viridiplantae; Streptophyta; Magnoliopsida; Malpighiales; Euphorbiaceae. The record is from RNAcentral.
GCAUAUGUCGUGUUUCGUCAUCAGGUAAAGACUUAAUAUAAUAUCCAAUCUAAAUAUUGCAUGUGGCAAUAGUUUCAUCAAUUAAUUGAAUACGGCCAUGAAAUUUGAGUCCAACUUAGUAUAACUUUUAGGUAAAGAUUCACCACAGCUGGAUGGCUUUCAGCCACUGAUGCUCCAAUGAUUUGCUUUGAAAUAUCUUCAAGUAGUACUGCUGUAGUUUGGAUGGAAGAGGCUGGUGUUCAACAAGAAAUUUGUUGCACUGGAGAUACAUACGACAUUUAAGUUAUUGCCAUUAGAUGUUACCUUUAUUUCAACAGAAAAGCCUUAAGAAACACAUCAAGCUGGUAGGAAGAAAAAUAAUCACACAGAAUGCCUUGCGUCAAUUGCAGAAUAUGAUCUGUUAUUAUAGCUCUUCACUGUUCAAUUGUUAGCCUCUUCUAUAGAAUUUAUAUUUGCACCAAGAGAACAAGAUAAUGAUGGGAAAACAAAAUUUGGGGAACUUGUAAAACGAACAUGCAGCAUGAAGAUAUGAAACAAAUAUGUGCUUGUUAUGGGAUUCCUUAUGUGUUGUUACUUGUUCAGAGUGUAAACACAAUCUCACUGCACUAAUUAUGAUAGUUUCAAACUUUGUUCAAGUAAUGACUUAAGUCCUUUUUUAUAAGCUCGUCUAUAUUAAUUAUUAAUUUUUUUAACGUGUAAAAUGCAGAUCAUAAAUGUUUACAACCAA